This 294-nucleotide ribosomal RNA is filed under the name uncultured soil bacterium. RNAcentral's name for it is "partial 16S ribosomal RNA". It matches the Rfam family "Bacterial small subunit ribosomal RNA", at positions 26 to 345 of the family's 1533-position model. The record is from RNAcentral.
AGAACGAACGCUGGCGGCAUGCCUAAUACAUGCAAGUCGAACGAACACUUCGGUGUUAGUGGCGCACGGGUGCGUAACGCGUGGGAAUCUGCCCUUGGGUUCGGAAUAACAGUUGGAAACGACUGCUAAUACCGGAUGAUAUCGAAAGAUCAAAGAUUUAUCGCCCAGGGAUGAGCCCGCGUAGGAUUAGCUAGUUGGUGAGGUAAAGGCUCACCAAGGCGACGAUCCUUAGCUGGUCUGAGAGGAUGAUCAGCCACACUGGGACUGAGACCACGGCCCAGACCUCCGUACGGG